CCCAGUCCUCCAGGCCCACUCCCCAGUCCUCCAGGCCCACAAGUGAGUCCUCCAGGACCCACAUCCCAUUCCUCCAGCCCCACGUCCCAGUCCUCCAGCCCCACACCGAGGUCCUCCAAGGCCAUCCCCAAGUCCUUCAGCCCCACAUCCGAGGUCCUCCAGCCCCUUAAUUGACUCCUUCAGCUCCACACCGAGGUCCUCCCGCCCCACAUGCUGGUCCUCCAGCCCCAAAAUUGACUCCUUCAGCCCCACAUCGAGGUCCUCCAGCCCCACAUGCGAGAUCCUCCAGCUCAGAAGUGAGUCCUCCAGCCCCACACCGGGGUCCUCCAGCCCCACACGUGAGUCCUCCAGCCUCGUGUCUCCUUCUCACACUCUUCGAUGCUCCUCAGCCUCUCCGCCUCCUCUUUCAGGCCAGUCCUCCAGCCCCACACCCCAGUCCUCCAGCCCCAUAAGUGAGUUUUCCAGCCCCACAUCGAGGUCCUCCAGCCGCACACCUCGGUCCUCCAGAACCCGAAGUGAGUCCUCCAGCCCCACAUCCCAGUCCUCCAGCCCCACAUCCCAGUCCUUGAGACGUGAAAUUGAGUCCUCCAGCCCCACAUCCCAGUCCUCCAGCCCCACAUCCCAGUCCUUGAGACGUGAAAUUGAGUCCUCCAGCCCC
RNAcentral lists this long non-coding RNA (658 nucleotides) under Chrysolophus pictus (golden pheasant). Its description in RNAcentral is "lncRNA (ENSCPIG00010008443.1)". The record is from RNAcentral. Lineage: Eukaryota; Metazoa; Chordata; Aves; Galliformes; Phasianidae.